Molecule: ribosomal RNA, 521 nt
Filed under: Suillus luteus
Lineage: Eukaryota; Fungi; Basidiomycota; Agaricomycetes; Boletales; Suillaceae
Description: eukaryotic LSU rRNA
Rfam family: 5.8S ribosomal RNA (bases 210-364)
Source: RNAcentral
UUAUGAAAUUAUAAUCCGGCGAGGGGAAAGGCGGAGAGUUGUAGCUGGCCUCUAGGGGCAUGUGCACGCUCUCUUCCGGACCUUUCGCCGUAUGGGCGCGGGGCGACCCGCGUCUUCAUAUACCUCUUCGUGUAGAAAGUCUUUGAAUGUUUUACCAUCAUCGAGUCGCGACUUCUAGGAGCGCGAUUCUUUGAGAAAAAAGUUAUUACAACUUUCAGCAACGGAUCUCUUGGCUCUCGCAUCGAUGAAGAACGCAGCGAAUCGCGAUAUGUAAUGUGAAUUGCAGAUCUACAGUGAAUCAUCGAAUCUUUGAACGCACCUUGCGCUCCUCGGUGUUCCGAGGAGCAUGCCUGUUUGAGUGUCAGUAAAUUCUCAACCCCUCUCGAUUUGCUUCGAGCGGGUGCUUGGAUGUUGGGGGCUGCCGGAGACACUGGAUUCGUCCAGGACUCGGGCUCCUCUUAAAUGAAUCGGCUCGCGGUCGACUUUCGACUUUGCAUGACAAGGCCUUUGGCUCAACCCCU